UGGCCCUACGGGACGCAGCAGUGGGGGAUAUUGCACAAUGGGGGAAACCCUGAUGCAGCGACGCCGCGUGGGUGAAGAAGCGCCUCGGCGCGUAAAGCCCUGUCAGCAGGGAAGAAAAUGACGGUACCUGAAGAAGAAGCCCCGGCUAACUACGUGCCAGCAGCCGCGGUAAUACGUAGGGGGCAAGCGUUAUCCGGAUUUACUGGGUGUAAAGGGGGCGCAGACGGCGAUGCAAGCCAGGAGUGAAAGCCCGGGGCCCAACCCCGGGACUGCUCUUGGAGCUGCGUAGCUAGAGUGCGGGGGGG
This 305-nucleotide ribosomal RNA is filed under the name uncultured bacterium. RNAcentral's name for it is "partial 16S ribosomal RNA". It matches the Rfam family "Bacterial small subunit ribosomal RNA", at positions 334 to 656 of the family's 1533-position model. The record is from RNAcentral.